This 6705-nucleotide long non-coding RNA is filed under the name Brassica napus (rape). RNAcentral describes it as "long non-coding RNA (BNAP_LNC023952)". Lineage: Eukaryota; Viridiplantae; Streptophyta; Magnoliopsida; Brassicales; Brassicaceae. The record is from RNAcentral.
CCCACAGCUCUUUAGCAGACUCACAGUAGCUGUAUGCAUCCAGAAUAGCCGGCUCAAGGGACGCAUGGAGCACUGACAUCACCAACAUGUCCUCUUGAUGCCACUUCUCUUCUGCCUUGCUUGCCGCUUCAUCUUCAGCCUCUCCUUGGGUGAUGAGCUUUGGAGCUUCUCCUGGUGUGAUGUGCUUCCAAAGCCCCUUGCUUCCCACUGUGGUUCUCACCAUCCGAGACCACACCAAGUAGUUGUUUCCCUUGAAACAAACCGCCACCUUCAUGUUCAUGUUCAUCCCACUCUCCAUGUUGAAUGUAGAACCCUUUAGACUUCAAUAACUUUCUCUUGAGGUAACUGUCUUGAGCGAACACUAGCAGCUUCAAACAACCAAUAUAACUCAGAAAGACUACCCAGAACCGCUUAAGAACACAAGAACACCAAACUGUUUCUUCAAAGUUUCAACCUUGAAUCUUCAAAGAACCCAACGAAACCAAGUUCUCUAGGAACCUGGCUCUGAUACCAUAUCACUUUUAGGAUUGAGUAGAGUAAUCUGAGUGAAUAAGAAAGACUAGAAGUGAUUUAGAAGAGAUUUGAGUAUAAAAUGAGAUUAAGAGUCUAGUAUAGAACCAUUGAGAGACAAAGAGACUAAGAGAGACUCAUAACUUUCUUACUUUGAUUAAUGACAUGAGUUUACAAUAUAUAGAGAGGCGACAUUAGAGACUAGGGUUUAGGAAACUACACUAUUACAAGGGAUAAGCUUUUGCUUUAAUUCAAAUGAUCCAAUAAGCUUCCUCCUUAAGGAUAAGGUUCCUUUUGCUUUAUGCCAACCGCGGACAGGCUGUCAUGUGCGCUCCCUUCUUCCUUUUGCAACAGUCUGAUCAGAUAAGGUUAAGCAAGGCUUCUUCUCAACACACAAAGUUACCUAAGUAACUUUGGUUCACCGAGGUCAAGUUACCUUGCCCAAUCUGUACGGCCUAGUACGGCUUCUGUACGGCCUUGCCCAAUCCUCUCCUAACUCCAUUUCCCUUAGCUCCUCAAGUCAUCUCUCCUCAUAUACUGAACUCAUCUUAACACUCAGUGCUUCCAUUGCAGCCCAUCCAUACUCCUUGAUCAGGUGAGCCGUUGAGAUACAUCAAGAUCCUCUCCACCAUGCGCCAAUGAUGUUCCUUAGGCACUUGCAUGUGUUGACUCACCUGAUUCACAGCAAAACAAAUGUCAGGUCUAGUUAUAGUGAGGUAAAUCAAUUUGCCAACUAGUUUUCUAUAGAGUUUAGGAUCCUGAUAAGGUUUGCUGUCUUCAAUCUCCCCCUCUCGUGGGACUUUAAGAUCUAUGAGUCCCAAUCUAAUGUGAAUGGACUCCAUAGUCUUUUGUCUUGCUGCCUUGGUGAACACAUCAGCCAACUGAUCUUCACUUCUCGUAUAGCAAGGUAAGAUCACUCCAAGCACAAUCAUCUGUCUCACCUUGUGGCAAUCAACCUCAAUGUGCUUGGUUCUCUCAUGGAACACCGAGUUGGAUGCAAUGUGAAUGGCAGCUUGAUUGUCACAAUGCAUUGUCAUUGGAGUGGCUUGAUCAAUCUCCAAGUGCUUCAAGAUGCCUUUGAUCCAUACCAACUCGUUUGUAAGUUUCAGCAUGGCUCUAUACUCAGCUUCAGCACUUGAACAUGACACCACCUUCUGCUUCUUGCUUUUCCAAGUCACCAAGUUGCCUCCAAUGAAUGUGCAAUAGCCGGUUGUUGAUCUCCUGUCGGCUCUAUCUCCUGCCCAAUCAGCAUCACAAUAGCCCACCACUUCUGUGCUUCCAUUGCACCCCAUCCAUACUCCUUGAUCCGGCGAGCCAUUUAGAUACAUCAGCAGUCUCUCCACCAUACGCCAGUGAUGUUCCUUGGGAAGCUGCAUGUGUUGGCUCACCUGAUUCACAGCAAAACAUAUAUCAGGCCUUGUAAUGGUAAGGUAAAUCAAUUUGCCAACAAGUGUUCUAUAGAGUUUAGGAUCAUGAAAUGGCUUGCUGUCUUCAAUCUCCCCCUCUCUUGGUACUUUGUAGCCAUCCUCCAUUGGCAUCCUUGCUGUCUUGCCUCCAUAAGCACCUGCACCUUUCAAAAGAUCAAGUGUAUACUUCCUUUGGGACAUGAACAAACCUUCCUUGGAUCUACAUAUCUCAAUUCCAAGAAAGUAUUUCAUUUCUCCCAAGUCUUUGAUUUCAAACAUAGACUUUAGAAACUCCUUGGUUGCUUUGAUACCUUCCUUAUCACUCCCAGUGAUAAUGAUAUCAUCAACAUACACAAGGAGUGCAAUCAUACCUGAGGGAGUCGUGAGUGUGAAGAGGGUGUGAUCUAGUUCAGACUUCUUGAAGCCUCGGCCAUUCAGAGUGUAAAGAGAGUGUGAUCCAACUCUGACUUCUUGAAGCCUCGGCCGUUUAAAGUUGUGCUCAACUUGUUAUACCAAGCUCUUGGUGAUUGCUUCAACCCAUAAAUAGCUUUCUUUAGCCUCAGUACAUUCCCUCUCUUCACUAGAUGUUCCAGACCUGAUGGAGGAUACAUAUAGACUUCAUCCUCAAGUUCUCCUUGUAGAAAUGCAUUCUUUACAUCCAUUUGCCAUAAUCCCCAUCCAAGGUUCACAGCCAAGCUUAAAAUAAUCCUAAUGGUGUGUAGCUUGGCCACUGGUGCAAAUGUUUCAAUGUAAUCCUCUCCAUAUGUCUGAGUGAACCCUCUUGCUACUAGUCUAGUCUUCUUCCUCUCAAUCGACCCAUCAGCCUUGUACUUGAUUGUAAAGAUCCAUCUACUAGACACAGCUUUCUUCCCUUUUGGUAGUUCACUCUCAUACCAUGUAUCAUUCUUUAUCAUAGCUCCUGCCUCAGCUCCUACUGAUUCCUUCCAUUCCUUAUCCUCCAUUGCCUCUUCAUAGCUCCUUGGAAUGUGAUUCUCAUCCAAGUUUACCAUGAAUGCGCAAUGUGCUUCUGGAUAUUGAGCAAACGAACACACGGCCUGAGUAGGAUGCUUCACAGCUUGGGCAUUGUAGUACACUCUUGUGUUUACCCAACUGGAAGGAUCCUUUCUCAGCCUUGUACUUCUUCUCAAUACUGGCCCUUCUUGCGCCAUCUCUUGUUCUUCUUCUUGUGGCAGCACACUUGUUUCAGAUCUUUCUUCUCCUAGCUGACUUGCUUCAGCUCCUUCUUCCCUUAGCUGACUCUCUUCAGCUCCUUCUUCUUGAUCAUUUGAUUCCACAGCUUGAUCAUGAGAGCCAGAACUCUCUUCUCUAGUUCUUGUUUCAUUCCCCCCCUCAUGCUCAAGGUUGGAAGUCUGAUGAUCCGGGACUGUGGUAGUACUUCUCCCCUCUUGAUGUCCUUGAUUCAUGUUGAUUCCAAGGCCUUCUAGGAUAAUCCUCAAGGUUUCAGCUCUAUCAGAGGUAAGAUCCUUCAAGUCUUCUUGAAUCUGUUCCUCAUAAUAUCCUUUCUCUUCAACAAACUUCACUUCUCUAGAUACUAACACUCUCCUUGUGUUAGGAUCAUAGCACUUGUAUCCUUUCUGACUUGAUGAGUAUCCAAUGAACAUUGCCUUUGAACUCUUAGCUUCUAGCUUGUUUCUUAUCUCUCCAGGCACCAUCACAAAACACAAACACCCAAAGACCUUCAUAUGCUCGAGAGAAGGCUUGUACUGAUUCAGUACCUCAAAUGGUGAUUGUCCUUGAAGGAUCAGAGUUGGUGUCCUGUUGAUGAGAUAACACGCCGUAGCAACAGCAUCACUCCAAAACUUCUUAGGCACAUUGGAUUGAAACAUCAUGGACCUGGCUACUUCCAUCAAAUGCCUGUUCUUCCUCUCAGCCACACCAUUCUGUUGUGGGGUAUAGGGACAGCUUGUCUGAUGAAGGAUUCCAUGCUGAGAUAGGUGUAGUUUGAAUGCUUGUCCCGUGUACUCUCCUCCAUUAUCUGACCUGAAAAUCUUUAUCUUGGCAUUGUAAUGGUUAGUCACAUAGGAUUGAAAGUUUUUAAAUGCAUCAAGUACCCUAUCUUUGGUUGGAAUUAAGGUUAACCAGGUGUAUUUGGAUUUUUCAUCAAUGAAAGUUACAUAAUACUUAUGGUUUUCUCUAGAUAGGCAGGGUGCAGUCCAAACAUCAGAAUGAAUAAGAUCAAAACAUUUUUCAUAAACAGUAGUAGACUUGGUAAAGACAGUUCUACAAUGCUUGCCUAAAAUGCAAGCUUCACACUCAUUAUUCUCAAAGGAAACACCUGGCAACAUCAGUUUUAAAGCCUUAUUAUGAGGGUGUCCUAAUCUAGCAUGCCACAAUGCAUUUUUACUUAAACCAGAACUAGAAACAGAAGUAAACGAGCAGCUAUAUCUAGAAACAGGAGUGAGAUCUUCAAGUAAAUAUAGCUCUCCUUUAGUCACUCCCUUUCCGAUCAUCUUGCUGCUUUUAAUAUCCUGAAACUUAACAUCAUUAGGACUGAAUAUAACAUUGCAUUGCAAAUCAGUAGCACACUUCUUAACAGAUAACAAGUUUGAUGUGAAUUCAGGCAUAUAAAAAGCUUUAGUUUCCUUAUUAAACAGUUUAAGACUUCCUAUUCCUCUAAUAGGAAUCUUAUCUCCAUUAGCAAUCAUUACAUUUCCAUUCAUUGGCACAAUGUUUUUAAUCAAGCUAGUAUCACUUAUCAUAUGAUGAGAUGCACCUGAAUCAAUCACUAAUGGCUUAAUGUCAUGAGAACUAGCAAUAUGCGCAAGGAUACUAGAUGGUUUGAAUGCAUGAUCAUUUCUAGCAAGGUUUGCAAUCCUAGAUUGAUUUACCAUUUCUAUCAAGCUCUCAUGCAUCCUAUCAGUUCUAGUUAGAUUCUCAUAGUUCUCUACCAUCCUAGCACCAAAAGAAUACCCAAAGAUGUUACCAUUCUCCUUGAACAUCUUAAUGAGAGCAUCAAGGUCGGAUCUCCUUAGAUACUCUUGGUCAUUGUUCCCACGGUUGCUUGGUGCCCCGGUGUAGGCAGUAAGAGACUUCCCAUCCCCUGCCUCACGCCCAUCUAUCUCCUUUCCUUUGCUUGUACCAGCUCCACCCGUUCCAUCUGAUGCAUUAGCCCUUGCUUCACGGUCCUUCAUGAACUUUGCCGGCUUGAGGUGUGGGUGAAGGAUCCAGCAUUGGCUCUUCUUGUGGCCAUGCUUCUUGCAGUGAUCACAGUUCCCAUUGAACCUCCUCUCCUCAAACUUCCCAUGCGCAGCAACCUUGUUUGCUUGCGGAGCUUCACUCCCCUCCUCUUGAGUUGCUUGGCUUGCAAGGGAAAGGUCUCCCUUCUUUGUAAACAGCCCAAUGGAGCCUUGCUCCUUCUGAAUCCGUGCACACACAUCCUCAAGAUCAGGUAGAUUGUCCUCCCUAAGCAGGUGCUGGAUGAGACCGUUGUAAGCCGGGUUCAGCGUGAGGAGUAGCCCAAAGACCUUGUCUUGCUCUCUCCUCUUGUUAAGCUCAUCAGCAUCCGUUGUGCUUGGCCUAAGCAUCUCCAUCUCGGACCAGAGACUCCUGAAUCUCCCUAGAUGCUUGGUGAACUCCAUGUCUUCUUGUACAAGGUUGUUGAUGGCUUGCUUCACUUCAAACACUCGGCUUAGGUUUGAAGUGUUGCCAUACACCUUCUUCAAGGUAUCCCACAGCUCUUUAGCAGACUCACAGUAGCUGUAUGCAUCCAGAAUAGCCGGCUCAAGGGACGCAUGGAGCACUGACAUCACCAACAUGUCCUCUUGAUGCCACUUCUCUUCUGCCUUGCUUGCCGCUUCAUCUUCAGCCUCUCCUUGGGUGAUGAGCUUUGGAGCUUCUCCUGGUGUGAUGUGCUUCCAAAGCCCCUUGCUUCCCACUGUGGUUCUCACCAUCCGAGACCACACCAAGUAGUUGUUUCCCUUGAAACAAACCGCCACCUUCAUGUUCAUGUUCAUCCCACUCUCCAUGUUGAAUGUAGAACCCUUUAGACUUCAAUAACUUUCUCUUGAGGUAACUGUCUUGAGCGAACACUAGCAGCUUCAAACAACCAAUAUAACUCAGAAAGACUACCCAGAACCGCUUAAGAACACAAGAACACCAAACUGUUUCUUCAAAGUUUCAACCUUGAAUCUUCAAAGAACCCAACGAAACCAAGUUCUCUAGGAACCUGGCUCUGAUACCAUAUCACUUUUAGGAUUGAGUAGAGUAAUCUGAGUGAAUAAGAAAGACUAGAAGUGAUUUAGAAGAGAUUUGAGUAUAAAAUGAGAUUAAGAGUCUAGUAUAGAACCAUUGAGAGACAAAGAGACUAAGAGAGACUCAUAACUUUCUUACUUUGAUUAAUGACAUGAGUUUACAAUAUAUAGAGAGGCGACAUUAGAGACUAGGGUUUAGGAAACUACACUAUUACAAGGGAUAAGCUUUUGCUUUAAUUCAAAUGAUCCAAUAAGCUUCCUCCUUAAGGAUAAGGUUCCUUUUGCUUUAUGCCAACCGCGGACAGGCUGUCAUGUGCGCUCCCUUCUUCCUUUUGCAACAGUCUGAUCAGAUAAGGUUAAGCAAGGCUUCUUCUCAACACACAAAGUUACCUAAGUAACUUUGGUUCACCGAGGUCAAGUUACCUUGCCCAAUCUGUACGGCCUAGUACGGCUUCUGUACGGCCUUGCCCAAUCCUCUCCUAACUCCAUUUCCCUUAGCUCCUCAAGUCAUCUCUCCUCAUAUACUGAACUCAUCUUAACACUCCCCCUCAAGCUUAGCUUUGUGAAAGUCUAAGCUU